This 2764-nucleotide long non-coding RNA is filed under the name Mus musculus (house mouse). RNAcentral describes it as "long non-coding RNA chr15:98993682-98996446". The record is from RNAcentral. Lineage: Eukaryota; Metazoa; Chordata; Mammalia; Rodentia; Muridae.
GUUCGGCUCCAUAGCACCGACGGUCUCACUAUUCACAACUGCCUGUUACUCAGGUUCUAAGAAAUCAGGUGACUUCAAGCCUCUAUGUAGGUGGAGCACAUAAACACACACAGCUACAUAUGGGACAUAUAAAUCCUUUUUUAAAAAAAAACAAACAAAAGUGGAACAUGUAAUGAACAAAGUGCAAAUAUUUCAAAAACAAAACAAAACCAACCUGCAUUUUUUGAGUUGUUAUCAAUUAACUUUUUAAAAGACCUCAACAUUAAUUUUACCAGUUCUAAUAAAAAAAAAAAGGCCUCUGACGCAACGAAGAAGGCAUUAUAUGCUGAAAAUGAGAAUAUCUUUUUAAUCUUGUUUCCCCCUGCCUUCUACAAGCAUGGCAUACACAAAAGCCGGAGAAAAUUCAGCUGUGGCGCCAUCUGCUGGACACUCUGACUUGCUGCAAGAACUUGCAGGUCGAAUCAGUAAGGUGUCGCGGUUGGUCGCGAAAACCUCGCUUUUUGCCCAGGAAAUAGCGCCAAGGCAGUAUUACAUGCUCAUACAAAACCAAAUACAUACAUACAUACAUACAUACAUACAUACAUACAUACAUACAUACAUACAUACAUACAUACAUACCACUAACACUAAAUAAUAAUAACUUAGCCGGGAAGGUGUGGCACAUACCUUUAUUUCUAGUACUCUGGAGUCAGUGGCAGGCGAUCUGUGUGUUCGAGGCCAGCCUGGUCUACAAAGUGAGUUCUAGCAUAGCUAAGGUUACACAGAGAAACCCUGUCUUGAAAAAACCAAAACCAAAACAAACCCCUAUGAAACUGGCCCUUUGAUAGAAAAAAUGCUUUGGGAAUGAUGGUCACAGGUAAGCCCAGGGUCACAUACUCUAUGGCACGAGGCAGAAUUCACUUAAUUAUAUGCCUCCAUGUUGAGCAUUAGCUGAAAACUAAAAGCUUGUUUUUCAGCACUGCACACAACUGAGUAUCCGGGACAGACGAAGUCACCGUUCCCUUGUUCUCUUGAACGGACUGAUUUUGCUGAAGGAAAGAAGUGUAAAAGUGUGGCAAAUUGAGCUGGGAGCUUGAAGGUGGUCUGCGGUAGCCUGGGUGGGGUUUGGAACUCUUUUUUUCUCUCUCUCUCUUUUUUAUUAGGUAUUUUCCUCAUUUACAUUUCCAAUGCUAUCCCAAAAGUCCCCCAUACCAACCCCCCCAAUCCCCCACCCACCCACUCCCCCUUUUUGGCCCUGGUGUUCCCCUGUACUGGGGCAUAUACAGUUUGCAUGUCCAAUGGGCCUCUCUUUCCAGUGAUGGCUGACUAGGCCAUCUUUUGAUACAUAUGCAGCUAGAGUCAAGAGCUCCGGGGUACUGGUUAGGAACUCUUCAUUAAGCCCUGCCUCCAGUUUUUCAAACUCUUGGGUAAGAUCUGAUUUACUUGAAGAUUUUUCUAUUUAGGAGAGGCAGGCCCUUUCCACACAAGGGUCUAAGCCCAUUUGCAAACACAUUUAUUCAGAGGCUUUCGCGUAAACAUUGCUUAGUUGAAAUACUUCACUCAGCAUCCUUGCAAUUUUGUUGCAACACAUUCAGAAGCCACUUGGGGAAACCCGGGGAAAGCAGAAAUGUAGAUCAGAUUAAAACUGGCCCACCCACCUGGGAAAUCGGGGUUCCGCUGCAGAAGCCUUGGUAAUGGAAACAUAUUAACAACACAGAGCUCUGACCACCGGCGCUUCAGGGUCACCUUGAACAAGACUAAGUUUUUAUAUUCUGGGAUGAGCUUUUAAUGGUUUUCCUGAGAUGAAAUAACUUCAACCUUGUGGCCUGCAGGAGCCCAGCUGAUUACAAAAUCCCGGGUUCCUGUCAGGUAACGUCCAUAUUCAGUCAGUGUGUUCUAAGAGCUUCCUCUGCUUCUUCAAUAACUAGGCCCUGCAGGGUGAGACUGUCGGAUCCACUGCUAGCAGCAUUAGCCCUCUCAAGGGACACGUGGAGAAGAUUCAGCAGCCACCAAGAACACAGAGUGGGAAAUAAAUGUCCCCUCUAGCAAGGGCUGAAUGGCUUGUCAGCAGAUGAGAGAGGGGUUUUGUCAGUUUGCUUGGCUUUUAAAACAAUCUUUCUGUGUAGCUCAGGCUAGCCCCAAACUUGGGGUAACAUUGCUUCAUUUUCCUUAGCACUAGGGUAACAUCUAACCAUAAAUUAUGCACCGAUGCUCUUCUUUUUUUUUUCUUUUAGAUUUACUUAUUAUUAUAUGUAAGUACAUUGUAGCUGUCUUCAGACACCCCAGAAGAGGGCAUCAGAUCUCAUUAUGGGGGAUUGUGAGCCACCAUGUGGUUGCUGGGAUUUGAACUCAGGACCUUUGGAAGAGCAGUCAGUGCUUUUAACCGCUGAGUCAUCUCUCCAGCCCAUGGAUGCUCUUCUAUAUCGAGUUUCCACUCUGCUUAUCAUAUAGGGAACAAUAAAUGCAUAGCAGCCAUGAAAAUGACUGGUUUUGUGUCCUUGGAGGAAAAGGAGGGAGCAGGUAGAGAGGCAGCUAGGAAAACUGCAAGGGGAAAAGGUUAUCCUGAGAGUCAGCGACCCUCAGAAAACAGGCGCCGUCUCAGCUGAUAGCAAGAAGCUAUAAAAGGAACAGGAACCCUUAGGGGCAUUCCACUGCAGGCUGCCUGAGUGCUUUCUACAUAUGGGAAUAGAUACAAUUAUUAAAUAUUGCUAUAGUGUUCCCAACUCAAGGGCAUGGUACACUUUCUGGAAUAAUAAUGUAAAUAAAAAAUAAUAAAAAUAAUUUU